RNAcentral lists this ribosomal RNA (253 nucleotides) under uncultured bacterium. Its description in RNAcentral is "partial 16S ribosomal RNA". It matches the Rfam family "Bacterial small subunit ribosomal RNA", at positions 524 to 776 of the family's 1533-position model. The record is from RNAcentral.
UACGUAGGGUGCAAGCGUUGUCCGGAAUUAUUGGGCGUAAAGAGCUCGUAGGCGGUUUGUCGCGUCUGCUGUGAAAACCCGAGGCUCAACCUCGGGCCUGCAGUGGGUACGGGCAGACUAGAGUGCGGUAGGGGAGAUUGGAAUUCCUGGUGUAGCGGUGGAAUGCGCAGAUAUCAGGAGGAACACCAAUGGCGAAGGCAGAUCUCUGGGACGGUACUGACACUGAGACGCGAAAGCGUGGGGAGCGAACAGG